GAGUUCCGCAGCAUGCCGGAUUGUGAGGACCCGUUCGACUACAUCGGUUCGUCUGCUUCACGGAGUCAUUCUUCUUCCAAGCGGGAUCUCAGGCAAGAUGACCAUUUCCCCAGAUAUCAUUACUAUCAUUGCCAUGCUAGUUUUACCGUUUCUAUCGUUAUGUCUCGUUGCCUACCACAUGUUAAAUGUCAGCCUCUCAACAAUGCCAUGAAACCUUCAACCUGUUCACAACCUAGCAAACCACUGAUUGGCUAUGUUACUGCUUGCUUAACCCUGUGUUACCAUUGCUAGUUGCAGGUGCAUUGCUUCCAUGUGAAAGCAUGGGUCCCUUGUUAUAUCACCAUAUUAAAUGCUAUUUAAUUUAAUGCACCUAUAUACUUGGUAAAAGGUGGAAGGCUCGGCCUUUCUAGCCUGGUGUUUUGUUCCACCUUUGCCCCCUUAGUUUCCGGCUAUCGGUGUUAUGUUCCAUAAUUGAGCGCUCCUAACACGAUCAGGGUUGUUACGGGGACCCCCUUGAUAAUUCAUUUUAGAUUAAAUCUGGUCUGGCAAGGCCCAACAUUGGUACUACAUUUGCCUAAUCACCUAAUAAAAUUGCAUAGGGACUUUCCGGACCCCGAGGAUAAUUUAAUCAACCCCCGGGCCAGUGCUCCUCAUGAGUGUUGGUCCAGACUGGACAGACUGCGGGGCCACCACGGGGCAACUCGAGGUUUGGCACCUGUAGGCUUUUCCAUUCGUCGUGUCCUGAGAACGAGAUACGCGGCUCCUAUCGGGUUCGUCGACACGUCGGGCGGCCUUGCUCGAUUAGUUUUACCUUUGACGAGAUAUCUUGUGCAUCGGGAUUCCGGUGAUGCUUUGGGUAAUCUCAGAGUUGAGGUUUUCCACUAGGGAAUCCGACGAGAUCGCGAGCUUCGCGAUUGAGGAUUUCUAUGCGGCUUGUUGUAAUUUGUGAUGGACUAUAUAGUUGGAGCACCCCUGCAGGGUUAAAUAUUUUCGGAAAGCCGUGCCCGCGGUUAUGUGGCAACGUGGAAGCUUUGUUUAACACUGGUUCUAGAUAACUUGAAGUUAACUUAAUUAAAAUAUGCCAACUGUGUGCGUAACCGUGACUGUCUCUUUCGUGAGUUCCUUCUCCGAUCGAGGACACGGUGGGGUUAUGUCUGACGUAGGUAGGUGUUCAGGAUCAUUCACUUGAUCAACCGUAGUUCACGUCCGCUAUGCGUAGAUCUUUCCCCUCUUAUUUCUUGUACUCGUAAGUUUAGCCACCAAAUAUAUGCUUAGCCGCUGCUGCAACCUCACCACUGAACCAUGCCUCACCCAUUAAGCUUUGCUAGUCUUGAUACCUUUGGAAAUGAGAUUGCUGAGUCCCCCGUGGCUCACAGAUUACUACAACACCAGUUGCAGGUACAGGUAAAGGUUACUUGAUGCGAGCGCGUUGAAUGUUCAUUUGGAGUUGCUUCUUCUUCUUCCUCUUCAUCGAUCUAGGAUGGGUUCCAGGCCGGCAGCCUGGGAUAGCAAGGAUGGACGUCGUUCUUCUUUUCUCGUUUGUUUUCGUCCGUAGUCGGACCCUGCUCUUACUCUUGAUGAUUAUGUAAUGUACUGAUGUGACUC
This 1605-nucleotide long non-coding RNA is filed under the name Hordeum vulgare. RNAcentral's name for it is "long non-coding RNA (HVUL_LNC020660)". The record is from RNAcentral. Lineage: Eukaryota; Viridiplantae; Streptophyta; Magnoliopsida; Poales; Poaceae.